GACGAACGCUGGCGGCGUGCUUAACACAUGCAAGUCAAGGGGGCCCAGCAAUGGGCAACCGGCGAACGGGUGCGUAACACGUGAGCAACCUACCGAAAUGUGGGGGAUAGCCGGCCUAACGGCCGAGUAAUACCGCAUACGCUUUCCGAGAGGCAUUUCUUGGAAAGGAAACCUACGGGACAUUUCGAGGGGCUCGCGGCCUAUCAGCUAGUUGGCGAGGUAACGGCUCACCAAGGCAACGACGGGAGCUGGUCUGAGAGGAUGGCCAGCCACAUUGGGACUGAGAUACGGCCCAGACUCCUACGGGAGGCAGCAGUGGGGAAUCUUGCGCAAU
This 334-nucleotide ribosomal RNA is filed under the name uncultured bacterium. RNAcentral's name for it is "bacterial SSU rRNA". It matches the Rfam family "Bacterial small subunit ribosomal RNA", at positions 28 to 372 of the family's 1533-position model. The record is from RNAcentral.